This 256-nucleotide ribosomal RNA is filed under the name Papaver rhoeas (corn poppy). The record is from RNAcentral. Lineage: Eukaryota; Viridiplantae; Streptophyta; Magnoliopsida; Ranunculales; Papaveraceae.
CGCGCACCGAGUCUCCCCCUCCAACUCAUGUCAUUGGCGCCUCCGGGCACGUCGGCAUUGGGCAGUGAAUGGGGAGGAUAUUGACCCCCCGUGCCUUCAAAGCGCGGUCGGUCUAAACACAGGCCCUGGGAGGCCAGCGUCACGAUUUGUGGUGGUCGACACUCGUUGUCUCUCUUCAUUCCUGAAUCCGUGUCUGCUGUGCCUACCGUGAAGGACCACAAGGAACCCAUCGGGCCGUAACUACCGCAUCCACUCU